RNAcentral lists this ribosomal RNA (520 nucleotides) under uncultured Glomus. RNAcentral describes it as "SSU rRNA". It matches the Rfam family "Eukaryotic small subunit ribosomal RNA", at positions 569 to 1089 of the family's 1831-position model. The record is from RNAcentral. Lineage: Eukaryota; Fungi; Glomeromycota; Glomeromycetes; Glomerales; Glomeraceae.
AGCAGCCGCGGUAAUUCCAGCUCCAAUAGCGUAUAUUAAAGUUGUUGCAGUUAAAAAGCUCGUAGUUGAAUUUCGGGGUCAGUAGGUCGGUCGUGCCACUGGUAUGAACUGGUUUUACUGAUUCCUCCCUCUUGAAGAACUGUAAUGCCAUUAAUUUGGUGUUGCAGGGAAUCAGGACUGUUACUUUGAAAAAAUUAGAGUGUUUAAAGCAGGCUUUAGCUUGAAUACAUUAGCAUGGAAUAAUGAAAUAGGACGUUUGAUCCUAUUUUGUUGGUUUCUAGGAUUGACGUAAUGAUUAAUAGGGAUAGUUGGGGGCAUUAGUAUUCAAUUGUCAGAGGUGAAAUUCUUGGAUUUAUUGAAGACUAACUACUGCGAAAGCAUUUGCCAAGGAUGUUUUCAUUAAUCAAGAACGAAAGUUAGGGGAUCGAAGACGAUCAGAUACCGUCGUAGUCUUAACCAUAAACUAUGCCGACUAGGGAUCGGAUGAUGUUAAUUUUUUAAUGUACUCAUUCGGCGCCUU